This 396-nucleotide long non-coding RNA is filed under the name Ictidomys tridecemlineatus (thirteen-lined ground squirrel). RNAcentral describes it as "lncRNA (ENSSTOG00000033712.1)". The record is from RNAcentral. Lineage: Eukaryota; Metazoa; Chordata; Mammalia; Rodentia; Sciuridae.
GGUCUCUGAAUAAGGUAGCUUUCUUGGGGUCUCACUUGAGUGGGAAGCCAUCUGACAUCCAUCUGCCUGGUCUGUUUUUCAGUUAUCCUCACUGCGAUUUGCCAGCAGGAUGAAGCUGGUCACCACUGAGCCUGCCAUCAAUGAAAAGUACAAUGCUGAGAGACUGGUGGACCUCAGUACCCAGAUGAUCUGGCUGGAUGAGGACUAUAUUAAGAAAGCCAGUGGGGCUGUGAACUGGUCACUAGUCCCAGGAUCCAGGUGUCGGGGGCUCCCUCCAGUGGCCACUUUGUGACAACAAAAGAAAACCCUGUUCACAGUGAAGGUUCUCAACAUCUUUUAUGAAAGACAUUCAGGUAAUAUCUAUCAAAUGAUGUAAAUGACUUAACAAUUCUGCCU